This 464-nucleotide ribosomal RNA is filed under the name uncultured bacterium. RNAcentral describes it as "partial 16S ribosomal RNA". It matches the Rfam family "Bacterial small subunit ribosomal RNA", at positions 339 to 795 of the family's 1533-position model. The record is from RNAcentral.
CUACGGGAUGCUCCAGUGGGGAAUAUUGCACAAUGGGCGCAAGCCUGAUGCAGCCAUGCCGCGUGUAUGAAGAAGGCCUUCGGGUUGUAAAGUACUUUUAGCGGGGAGGAAGGGAGUAAAGUUAAUACCUUUGCUCAUUGACGUUACCCGCAGAAGAAGCACCGGCUAACUCCGUGCCAGCAGCCGCGGUAAUACGGAGGGUGCAAGCGUUAAUCGGAAUUACUGGGCGUAAAGCGCACGCAGGCGGUUUGUUAAGUCAGAUGUGAAAUCCCCGGGCUCAACCUGGGAACUGCAUCUGAUACUGGCAAGCUUGAGUCUCGUAGAGGGGGGUAGAAUUCCAGGUGUAGCGGUGAAAUGCGUAGAGAUCUGGAGGAAUACCGGUGGCGAAGGCGGCCCCCUGGACGAAGACUGACGCUCAGGUGCGAAAGCGUGGGGAGCAAACAGGAUUAGAUACCCUCGUAGUC